This 4788-nucleotide long non-coding RNA is filed under the name Prunus persica (peach). RNAcentral describes it as "long non-coding RNA (PPER_LNC005756)". Lineage: Eukaryota; Viridiplantae; Streptophyta; Magnoliopsida; Rosales; Rosaceae. The record is from RNAcentral.
AAGCAGAUGGCAGUUGAAGGGUUUAAAGCACAAAGUGAGAUGGUGAUUGACAGUCUUGAUCGGCUUAUCACUGCAUGGGAGGAACGAAGAGAAUCAGUUAUUGUCGAAGGUGUUCACCUGAGUCUUAAUUUUGUGGUAUGUACAAUCUAUAGUUCUCUUUCCCUUUGUUGUUGCCUUGUUUAAAUAUAUUCUUGUUCUUUUAUGCUUGUUAUCUCUCCCUUUCUAAAUAAUUCUUUGAAUCCCAGAUGGGGCUUAUGAAGAAACACCCUUCUAUCAUUCCAUUCAUGAUAUACAUCACAAAUGAGGACAAGCACAUGGAACGAUUUGCCGUUCGUGCAAAGUAUAUGACGCUGGACCCAGCAAAGAACAAAUAUGUGAAAUAUAUCCGAAACAUCAGAACAAUCCAAGAAUAUCUCUGCAAGCGAGCUGACAAGCACCUUGUCCCCAAAAUUAACAAUACUAAUGUUGACAAGAGUGUGGCAGCCAUCCAUGCAACCGUCUUCAGUUGCCUGCGUAGGCGUGAAGCAGGGGAGCAACUUUAUGAUCCCCCAAGAAACACAGUUACUGUAGUGGAUGAGGAGUACAGGAACCAGUGUGCAGCCAAUUCUUUGAGUUCUAAGGGGAUGUUUCAGCUGAUCCAGAGGAAAGGUUCAACUAGGCAUCUGAUGGCUCUUGUAAAUACUGAUGGAUCUGUGGCAAAGGCAUGGCCUGUUGAUUCAGUUGAUCGGAAUGGGAAGCCUAUAUUUUGCCAUGGGACUGACUUGGAGAUUGGCACCGCAGAGCAAGUAAAUCUUCAGUUUGGUCUCUAUGGGAUCAGUGCUUGGCCCAGUGAUGGUGGCCCGAGUUGUGCUGGAAGUGUGGAUGAGUCGAGGGCUGAUGGAACUGAGAUUGGAAGAAGUCAUCCCUCUUCUUGCUGCAGCUCGCCACGGAUAUCUGAGGGGCCUGCCAAAGAGGUACUUUUGAACACCAAUUUUAAUUGUUCCGUAGGAAAAAACUCUUACCUAUCAUUUUUUCCUUAACUGUUCAAUUUACUGUUUUUCUUCUUGAAAAUUUUUUUUUUUUGUUUUCUUUUCCUUCAGCUGAAGGAAGAAAAUUCAGUGCAUGGAAGUGAUGAAGAGGUUGAUGAAGAGGCUGAUGCAGGCAGUGAUGAGGAAUUAAGUGAUGAUGUUGACAAACAGGACUAUGAAGAGGUAUUAAUUGCUUUUGUUUUAGAUUAUUAUUAGUUUACACUGGAACCCGAAGAGAUUAGGACAACUUCUUGAAUUUUAUCAGCUUUUUGUAUCUGAUAACUCUGCUUGCCCCAGAAAUAUAUUAGGAUCAUAUAAAUAUUUAUACACACACGUGUAUAUAUAUAUAUAUGUUAUAUACAGAGAAUAUAAAUUAAAUGAAUGACAGACAGCUUAAAAUGAGUGGAUAAUUGGUCUGACCCAGGCUAAUAGAUUUGUGAACUUUGGAUCUUUACACUGUUAUAAUCCUGGUCACAUCAGAUGAGAGUCUGAACUCUACUUUUACGUCAAUUAAUCGUUUACUUUAAACUUCAUACUAUCUUGCAGAUAGGGUCAGUGGAUGAGGAGUCUACAAAAUCGGAUGAAGAGUACGAUGACCUCGCAAUGCAGGACGUGCAGGGAAAUGGAUACUGGUCAGGAGAGGAGAAGAGAGGGGACAAUCCUAAGAUCUUCCCCAUUUCCGAUGAUCAAUCAGCCGAUAAAGAAGGGGAUAAGUAUCGCCAGAACCUGGAUCUUUUCCUUAGAACUAGACACCAAUCAUUUUCUGAACCAUUGUGCUCAUACUCAUCUUUGUUCUUGGAGAAGAAUGAGAUGACAAUGCCGUGCUCUGGCAAUGUGAAAAUUAGAAAACGACGUUCCCUUAGCAUUCCAGCCUUGGGAAGGCGUGGGUCAAUAAUCAGGGGUCCCAUACUUUCUGGAGCCCCUAAGUGCUAGGACAACUAUUUUGUUGAAGCUUUAGUGUUCUCAUAUCCUUGCCUUUUUCUCCCUUAUCUAUGUUUAGCCUCCUUUUGUAGAGUAAUUAGGUAACUUAAAAUCUUCCUCAUUUGUACAGUAAUGCUUUUAGGCAGUUGCAGUGGAAUGGAUCUAAAAUGUAUUUUUGUUUGGUACUGUUAGCUUUGUUAGAAUGAGAACAUGAUUUUAGGGUAGUUUUGAAUAUGGGGUGCAUUCUAACAUGAUUUAAUAGUUGUAUGCUAGCGCUAUCUAUGGUUGGGUAACCAACCUGCUUUUCAUUAUUCUUUCUAACAGGGAUGGAAUCGGUUGUUUUUUCAAUCUCUGUUCAAGAUGUAUUGGCCCACUAUUCACCAAGUUGCUGAGGCCAGCAAGGGGAGGAGUUGCAUCUGGCUGAGAAUGGGCAUAUAGAGAUCCGGCAAACAAUAACACAAUCCGGCUUCGGUAGCGAAAGUGCUUCUACACUCUUUCAGUAGAAGAUAGGAAGAUAGUUUUGGCUUUUAUUGCUUCACUUGUUCACAAAUCAUAAGUGAAGGAUUUUUUUUUUUUUCAUUUGACCCUAUAUAACUUGGUUUAUGGCCGAUGCGUUGCUUUCUUUCCUGUAAAAAAGCUGGUUGAAUAGUUCCAUAACUAGAUGAAAACUAGGGCUUUAGGCUCGUCUCCAAUCGAAUCGAAUCCCCAGAAGAAGCUAGAUGGAGAUCCCUUACUCAUUAACUGAAAAUACCGUUUUGUUAACACAAAAAAACUGAAAAUACCGUACGGCCAUAAUUUUCUAUUUCUUACUCAAAUUUCAGAGUACUGCAAGCAUCCGAGGGUUACCCGCAACCCUAUAGCAAGUGAACAGUUUGGUAGGGGAUGCAAGUGUUCCGCACAUCCUCUGCAAGGGCUUCACUUUCUAAGCAGCUUCCCCCUUAUAGAGAAGGGAUCAUAGGGACUUCUUACUUUUAUUUAGUUCAUACAUGCAUUGCAUGUUAGGCUUGCCCUCACUAAGUUAGCACUUAUGGUAUGUUUAUUUAUUGGGUUAUUUGUAGUAAUGGUCCCUUAACUAUACUCGAAGUUGCACUUUGGUCACUCAACUCAAAUAUUAGUUGCAGAGGUCACUCAAUUGGGUGUUGUGUUGCACCAUUAGUUCCUACCGUCAAGUUUCUCUAACGGUAGGGACUAAUAGUGCAACACAACACCUAAUUGAGUGACCUCUAUAACUAUUUUUUAGAGUUGAGUGACCAAAAUGCAACUCUGAGUAUAAUUGAGGGAUCAUUGCUACAAAUAAUUCUAACUGAAAAGUCACAUUUGCCCAUCAAUAAUCUAAGAUAUGCUUGUCACGUCAUCAUUUUAAACAGAAAAAGUCACAGACUUGACGGUAGGGACUAAUGGUGUAACACAACACCCAAUUGAGUGACCUCUGCAACUAAUAUUUGAGUUGAGUGACCAAAGUGUAAGUUCAAGUAUAGUUGAGGGAUCAUUGCUACGAAUAACUCUUACUUAUUUGAAAUGGGAAAAGUCGUGAAUUGGGAAGUUACGAAUAGGGGAGAGGAUGAAUGGGUAUGGGAUCAACUACUCCCUCCUAAUCAAUCUAAUUUUUGGUUUUUCUGGUAUUGAAUUAAGAAUUUUAAAUUAAGAAUUUUAAUGUGGAAAUGACAUAAAUUUUAUUAUUUUAUAUGUUAGUAUGAAGUCAAGGAUUUGAAUAAUUUCAAUACCUAUGCGCUAGUAAACACAUGGAAAGUCAGUGAAAUAAUUCCUAUACCCAUGAUUCAUCCUGUUAGUUAUUCAAGCGUGUUGUUGGAUAUGCCAGUACUAAAAAGAGAGAGGGAAAUGGGGCUUGGCCGUUUUAGAAGCAUAAACAAGCAUGAAUGUUUUGCAUGUAUUUCUAUUUGAAGUCUCUCAAUAUAAAGCGCCAUCUCUAUCAGCCCAAAAGAUCGCUUCAAAGUGCCAUAUCUUAUUUGAGGUGAGCUUGAAACAGGACCCUGCGGAAUGUGUCGCAGGACAGAAUGAUGAUAAAUUCAUGUGAAGAAAAGCUACGGAAGGAAAGCGGAUCAGAAUUGGUAAGCGAUCACGCAACAAAGAAAAACCGAGGUCAACCACCAUAAAAGGCAACAAGGCGUACCAUUAGGAUCUUCGGGUUUGCUUGAACAAAACUGAGCAAGAAAGAAAACUGACACCCCCAAUCACUCAAAACAACGUGAUCUUGCUGGAUCAAGAAGCCUUUUUUCACCAAGCUAAGGAAUGAAAACCUCAGGUUGGAUCAAGGGAAGAUUCUCUAUAAAGAGCAAAGUAGAGGAGGAAAUUGCAGUCUCAGGCUGGAAGACCUUCCAUAAUGGGAUUUUUAUUAUUUUAAUAAUGUUAUUUUAUAUUGUUUUAUAUAAAUAUAUUAGACUUGGUUGUUGCGAGUGCUUUGUGAGGAAAAACAAAAACUAGUGCUACACAUUACUUCAAAUAGGACACUGUAAAAAUAAACCAUACCUUCCUGUAUGCUGGUUGAUAGGCUUUGGUGCAAUCCUUUUUCUGUUCUGCUUUCCCUAUCUCUCUUGGUAGUUAUAAUCUUCAACUAACCACAAGACAGUUUCUCUUUGAAAAACUAUGCAGAUUGGUGUAGAUUUACAGCAUUUUGCGAGCCCAAUUCCCUCUUGUUUGUAUACUUCAAUCUUCAGUUGAGGCCAAUUUGAAGGAAGAAAUUGGGGAGAGAUGAAGAUAGUUGAAGCAACCAUGAAACCUUGGUUGGGAAGGAAGUACAUUACCUUUCAAGUUUGACAGGAGACAAUCCUUGGAAUAUUCGCUUUAUCUCUAAUCUACUUGCCCUUCAUUUGGCAUAGCUUUAAAUACAAGACAAACCAAA